This 226-nucleotide ribosomal RNA is filed under the name uncultured bacterium. RNAcentral describes it as "partial 16S ribosomal RNA". It matches the Rfam family "Bacterial small subunit ribosomal RNA", at positions 28 to 257 of the family's 1533-position model. The record is from RNAcentral.
GGUGAACGCUGGCGGCGUGCCUAAUACAUGCAAGUCGAACGAGAGUGCUUGCACUCUAGUGGCGAACGGGUGAGUAACACGUAGGCAACCUGUCCCAAAGACGAGGAUAACAGUUGGAAACGACUGCUAAUACUCGAUAGGUAAUAAGAAGGCAAUCUUCAUAUUAUUAAAGAUCCGUAUGGAUUACUGUGGGAGGGACCUGCGUCGCAUUAGCUAGUUGGUAAGG